GUGGCUGUGGGACGUGCUGUGGAUUUAACAAAACUGAAUGGAUAUGAUGAGCUCCUAAGAGAACUCGAAGAGUUGUUCGAUAUCCAGGAAGAGCUCCACGCACGAAAUAAAUGGGAGAUCGUUUUUACAGAUGAUGAAGGUGACAUGAUGCUUAUGGGCGAUUAUCCUUGGUCAGAGUUCUGCAACAUCGCGAAGAGGAUCUUCAUUUGUUCUAGUCAAGACAUGAAAAGUUUCAGUGCAGGAACCAAAUCGCCGUCUUGUUUAGAAAGUGAGACAACUGCUUCAACAUGAAAAUUUGGAAGAGAAUAAAGGUAUCUGCAAUCUUCAAUAAUAACGCGUAGAGGAUGAGACUAUGUCGUCUUGUUGAAUAAGCUUGAUAACAAGCAAAUAGUUGAAUCUUUUUUCAUCAUUUAGUGGAGUUAUUAGUAUUAGAAGCUUGUGUAUAUGUAACUUUAU
RNAcentral lists this unclassified non-coding RNA (456 nucleotides) under Hevea brasiliensis (rubber tree). Lineage: Eukaryota; Viridiplantae; Streptophyta; Magnoliopsida; Malpighiales; Euphorbiaceae. The record is from RNAcentral.